GGAUUUUUUUUUUUUUUUUUUAAGAAACCUAGGAAACACGUUUCCACUUUUCAGAAUUUCCAGACACAGCCUCGAAACGUGUCUUUGCCGUGUCUUGCCAACUUCAAAUAUUGCCGUUUCCAUGCUUCACUGCUAAGCAGAACUAGUUCUACUAUGAUCCUUGAGCUUGCAUCAAACAUACCUACUUAAUCCUCUCCAUCUAGCCUAAUUCUUCAACUUUUUAUAUGAUAGACCAAAGGAUUUGGGAAAAAAAUAUGUUAGUUUCAAGUUUCAAGUUUCAACAUUACAUAGUCUGAAUGGAAAGCACAUCCUAACACACUAUCCUAAAGAAGAAUGCAUAUGAGUUAGCAAGAGCAAUAAAGACAACUUUGGAAUUGAAGGGCUUUUUUGGGAAGUUGUGCUGCACUCAGAGAUCUCUCAAUGGAGGAUUUAUUAGUGACUAUAACACAUUAAUUGCAAAAUAAGUUCGAUAAAUUGCCACUACGCAAGACACUGGUAUGGAUGAAGGAAAAUGUCAUUGUUCAAGGGGAAAAUAGAACAACAGAAAUUUGGCCUACGACAUUAAAGUCCCCAUUCACUCU
This 581-nucleotide unclassified non-coding RNA is filed under the name Hevea brasiliensis (rubber tree). The record is from RNAcentral. Lineage: Eukaryota; Viridiplantae; Streptophyta; Magnoliopsida; Malpighiales; Euphorbiaceae.